GUUUCAGGCAUUAUUGUACGUCGAGUUGGAAAAAUCUCUGUCAAAGCUUCCACGGUAUUUUAGACCAAAAGAAAUUCCGAGCGACACUCUUUAUGAACCAGUCAAAGAAAUAACAAAUGAAGAAAAAGAUUCGCAAAAAGAAACCAAAGUUGAAGAUGUUAUGGUUGAAUUACAGAAUAUCAAGAAUGACAUGAAUGUUUUAAAAAGUCUUCUCGAAACAGCUUUGAAGAAAAACGACAGAAGCAUGAAACUGACUCAAUAGAUGUAAUUAAAAAGUAGAAAUGAGUUAAAUUCAACGAACACAAACUGCAAUAAUUAACGGCGUGUAUUUUUCAAGAUUUUUUAAGUGGUGUGAACCUGGCUCCAACCUCACUCAUGAUGCCAGUCCCUUGAACGUUUGCAUGACGAUAAUAAAUAUCGGUUGCUUUACUGAUCAAAAGCUUUGCUAAAUAGGUGAACAUGUUUUCCGAAAUUGAAUGCAAUUAUAUGGUGUGUAAUUUAACUUCGUCUCAAUCAAUUGUUAUCAAUCAAUUAAACCUACAACAAGC
Paramuricea clavata is the source of this 548-nucleotide non-coding RNA. Lineage: Eukaryota; Metazoa; Cnidaria; Anthozoa; Malacalcyonacea; Plexauridae. The record is from the annotation of a GenBank genome assembly.